AUGCACGGCCAACUGCUGCGGUUAAAACGUAGAGGAAAAUCCGCUCUAGCACUCGCUGCGAUGCGAGUAGUGAUCAUGCUAGGCCAAAUAAGCCUAGGCAGCCACAAUUGUGGUUGACGACAAGUGCAACAGAGACGAGCUUAUUUAGUUAAGGUGCAACGAUGUAAACUCCAUGAGUUAGAAACCCAAAUUUUGGUAGGGGAACCUAAUAGAGAUAAAUGAAUUAAAAUUAGGAAGUUUUAUAACUUAGAUAAAUAGUUGGCGCUAUAGUAAUAUAGUACAAAAAGCGGUUUAUAGUG
This 299-nucleotide RNase P RNA is filed under the name Metamycoplasma phocicerebrale. RNAcentral describes it as "Mycoplasma phocicerebrale RNase P RNA component class B". It matches the Rfam family "Bacterial RNase P class B". Rfam says of the family: Ribonuclease P (RNase P) is a ubiquitous endoribonuclease, found in archaea, bacteria and eukarya as well as chloroplasts and mitochondria. Lineage: Bacteria; Bacillati; Mycoplasmatota; Mycoplasmoidales; Metamycoplasmataceae. The record is from RNAcentral.